Musa acuminata AAA Group (dessert banana) is the source of this 3709-nucleotide RNA transcript. RefSeq lists it as uncharacterized. The transcript is spliced from 7 exons. Lineage: Eukaryota; Viridiplantae; Streptophyta; Magnoliopsida; Zingiberales; Musaceae. The record is from RefSeq and is a predicted model, not a curated record.
UUUGGUAUUCCUCUUCCCGGAAAAUGCCGUUGCUUAACAAAUGGGGCCUCUGUGGCUCCCCGACUCUUCCUCUCCUGCGGCCCUCUCUCUCGCAUGCUAACCUAAUCCACCGUUACCGCCCGCCUCUUCCUUUGAAGAAGAGGUGCGGACGAGUUCUCUCGUGCUCCCUUCGCCAGUUCGCAAGAUCGAUGGAGGGCGAACGGCGACCCACAACGGCAGAGGAAGAGGAGGAGGGUGUCCCCUCGAUGAAGCUCCUCUUCGUCGAGAUGGGCGUCGGCUAUGAUCAGCAUGGGCAAGAUAUAACCACCGCUGCGAUGCGCGCUUGCCGCGACGCCAUCUCUUCCAACUCCAUCCCUGCUUUUCGACGAGGGUCGAUUCCUGGUGUUAAUUCGGAUCAGAUGAAGCUUGUAAUCAAGCUAGGAGUCCCUCGGUCUACCCAGCAUCUGCUCGAUAUUGAGAUGGUUAAAUCUGUCUUUCCUUAUGGCGAAAUUAUUAAGGUGGAGGUUGUCGAUGGAGGGAUGAUAUGCUCAAGUGGUGUUUAUCUUGAAGCGAUGGGAGACAAAAAUGAUGAUUGCUACAUAGUGAAUGCUGCGAUAUAUGUUGGCUACUGAUGCCUUUAGUGCUGCAUAUAGGAUCUGAUUCCAAGUAUCUGGAAGGCCGGAAACGCACCAGUGGCUGCAAUCCAUGCCUGCGUGGUCUCCACUGUAUGCAGAUGGAUGUGCGUCUUUUCUGAGUUGGGAGAGCAAGGUUAUGUCAAGCAGAUAAACUGGCUUUGUCAUGGUACUAAGAACACUCUUCACGAUGCCUUGAGCUGGAACUGGACCACCAGGAACUUACAGGUAAUGGGUUGGGGAUAUCCCUUGGAAGAAGACUUUGGUUGUGGCAGGAUUGACGUUGGAAUCCACCCAUUUGGCCCAAGUAGCUAGCCCCUUGUUGAAGGCCAGCAACCUAUCCAUGUCUCUGUAAACCUGGACUCCGUCCUGUACAUAGUCCCAUCUGCACCACAAGAUUGCUGUUGUUAGACUGACAUGUCCACCAAUGCCAGGUAUUGAAGAUUAACACGUCGGCGCCCAGCCACACCGAGCCAGACUGGAUGGAAUCGAGCUUCAGGACGCGGCCGAUGGGUUCGUUCACUAUGUCCACCAGGUAUGUGGUAUGGUAGUACACUACCGACACUCCAUAAUCCUGCAGUAGCGCCUGUUGUUAGCUGUAGUUUCAUUUAUUUCUUUUACCAUGCUUUCGCUGUUGCACUCAUGUGCUUUCAUAGCUAAAAUAUCUACACGACUGGAGCAGCAGGUGAGCUAACUAUUUCAGACUGUUCUCUCGUUUGUCUCUCGAUAUUUUUGGGUAUAUGACGGAAUUUGUUUUGUGAAAAAUGCUCAUAUAUAGGCUAGAAUCCGUGGCAGAGAGUAGCUUGCCACAAGGGAAAUUUCGUUGUUAGAUGGCCCUUCAGAAUCACACGAGGGCUUACUGCUGAUGCGAGGCAGAACUGUUCUUGGGACCCCAAACUUUAUUUCCAUUGUAAUACCCAAGAAUGCUUCGUCGUACAAGAUGGGUGUAAAAUAAAAGCUGAGGCAAAGGUUCAGAGAAAGGAGAAAAAGGCGGAACGGUUUGAGGUGACAUGAAACAAAGAGGAACAGUGAAUGACAGAAAAGAGAAAAAAGUAGGGGCAGGACGAAGCAAAGCAGAAGCCGAUGAACAGGGGCCGAUUUGGUAUCUAAAUGAAUGAAAAAUUGGAUUGUCAAAAUCCUUUGUCGGGUUUGCACUCUGGCCAUGAUGCAUUGACCGGAAAAAACGCAUCGCCAUACUGGAGGCCAGAUGGAAAGUAACGCCAGUGAUGGCUCUUUCUCGAUGGCAUGUUCUCUGCAGAAGAUGACAGAAGAAUAAGAAAACUCGGGGUUUUUACUCUUUAGGAAGCUUAUCAAAAGGUCAUGGCUAGUUGCCUUGGUGCAGACGAACUGAACACUUGUUCCAAUCUCUACAACUUUAAGAGGUUUCUUAUUAUAAAAAGCGGAACGGCGCGUCACGGAGUUCGGUCAUUACCUCUCGUGACAGGAGCGCAGGAAAUGCCAAUUUGGGGAGUUGGUGAGGAAAACAAGAUUCACAGUGCAAUGACAUGCCUUGCUGUUGCGGUCUCCCAGGAUAUGAUGAGUGUGAUUCCUUCUUGGAUACAGACACGUGAACAAUUGGGCACCACCACCACAUGUGCCAGCGGAUGUGAUGCUUGAGAUCUUGAAUCUCCACGAAACAAAAGAGCGAUUCAUAACAGAGUUUGGAGAACAAGGUAGGGGAAGGAGGGUUGAUGAUGAUGAUGAUGAUGAUGAUGCUGGUGAUGAGAAGAACAAAGAGGGGGAUAUCGCAGAGGUUUCAGAGAGAAAGAAGGGCACCUCGAAUGCGAUGGUGGAGAGAGCCUCCUUUCUUGUGUAGGUCGUCCUGGCGUUCGGCACCGCGGCAUGAAGCAUACAGCCCAGUGACUGCCACUGGUUCAAGCUGAUGGAGUCCCCCACAAACAUAAUCUUCUUGCCUUUCCACCUCUUCAGCAAAUCUUGGCCGUCGAACCUUCAGGAUUCCCCCAUUCACUUGGUGCGAAAUAGCAGCGAGUAAUGAACACAGCAGAGAGAAGCUAACCUUGGGAGCUCACAACCAUCAGGCUUCCACCUGUACUUGAGGUACAUCUUGUCGGUCCGGCCGUAUCGCUGGCAAUCGAACUCUGGCUGCAGAAAGGGGCAACUUGAGGAGUCGUAGAGCGGGUAGGUCUCGUCGUAAACCCACCUCCCUCGGAACAUGUUCUUGCAACUGACACCACUCGCCCUCUCCCACUUCCUCGCCGACCCGCCGUUGUUGCGACGCUUGUGAGCUAAGCUCUCUGUCGUUAUGCCAUGCAAAGAGGCAACUAGAAGUAACAGUAAAGUGCAGUGGAGCCCAAAAUUCCCGAAGGUUUUGGAUCCCAUAUGGGAGGGGAAGAAGAAGAAGAAGAAGAAGAAGAAGAAGAAGAAGAAGAAGAAAAGAAGAGGUGAUGGCGAUGGGAGAGAGGAUCUACAGAUAGAGCGGUGUCAAGAGAAAUGGAGGUGGUAGAAUUUAUGAAACUGAGCUCACAAGGAUUUGGCUGUUCUGCUAUUUGCAGCAGUUCACUUUAUUGUUCUGUUCACGGUGGUAAAACGAGGACGGAGAGGAGGGAGGGGGGAUGUGGCAUGUCCUUUGCGAAAGGGGCCGAGCCUGGACAGGUUUGGAGUGUCAGAAGCAUAUCGCUAUUGAGAGGUGAUUUCAUGGACUUGCUUGGUGUCGUGGAGUGAACCCGCUUUGGGUUGGCUACAUGCAAAUACGUGUGCCAUCUUUGCCGACUGUGGCACCAUUCCAUCUGAUGUGGUUGAGACAAGCGUCACAUACUAAUCCCUCGGUGGCCAUUCCAUGGACGGGCAUGGCUUGUGUAUAAAGUGGCAGCAUGUAUACUCGUGAAAUACUCUCUUCAGACCAGUGCUUCUGUCACAAGAACAGGAGAUCAUAACUUCCAACCAUGGGAGGUAUGUAGUACUGCUUUUGUAGGAUGUCACGUCAUUGGUGAGACAUGCACCGCAGCAGAUCCAUAAAAUUAGGCUUUUUUUGGUCCUCGAUUUUAUUACGACGGUUGUGAUCAUAAUCGAGUCCUUUUAAUAUGUUUAUAUGCACACAUAUUUAACACGCAUAUGUUCACAUGUUAAAUAUUCUUUUA